AUUGAACGCUGGCGGCAUGCCUUACACAUGCAAGUCGAACGGCAGCGGACCUUCGGGUGCCGGCGAGUGGCGAACGGGUGAGUAAUAUAUCGGAACGUACCUUUCAGUGGGGGAUAACGUAGCGAAAGUUACGCUAAUACCGCAUAUUCUGUGAGCAGGAAAGCAGGGGAUCGCAAGACCUUGCGCUGAUUGAGCGGCCGAUAUCAGAUUAGCUAGUUGGUGAGGUAAAGGCUCACCAAGGCGACGAUCUGUAGCGGGUCUGAGAGGAUGAUCCGCCACACUGGAACUGAGACACGGUCCAGACUCCUACGGGAGGCAGCAGUGGGGAAUCUUGGACAAUGGGCGCAAGCCUGAUCCAGCCAUGCCGCGUGAGUGAAGAAGGCCUCGGUU
Molecule: ribosomal RNA, 390 nt
Filed under: uncultured bacterium
Lineage: Bacteria
Description: bacterial SSU rRNA
Rfam family: Bacterial small subunit ribosomal RNA
Source: RNAcentral